Molecule: ribosomal RNA, 371 nt
Filed under: uncultured organism
Description: bacterial SSU rRNA
Rfam family: Bacterial small subunit ribosomal RNA
Source: RNAcentral
CGGGGGGGCAAGCGUUGUUCGGAAUUACUGGGCGUAAAGGGCGCGUAGGCGGCCUACUAAGUCGGACGUGAAAUCCCUCGGCUCAACCGAGGAACUGCGUCCGAUACUGGCAGGCUGGAAUCCGGGAGAGGGAUGUGGAAUUCCAGGUGUAGCGGUGAAAUGCGUAGAUAUCUGGAGGAACACCGGUGGCGAAGGCGGCAUCCUGGACCGGUAUUGACGCUGAGGCGCGAAAGCUAGGGGAGCAAACGGGAUUAGAUACCCCGGUAGUCCUAGCCCUAAACGAUGAGUGCUUGGUGUGGCGGGUAUCGAUCCCUGCCGUGCCGAAGCUAACGCAUUAAGCACUCCGCCUGGGGAGUACGGUCGCAAGGCUG